GUGCGCUGGGCGGGACCCAUCGCUCGGCUGCGGGGCGGGGAGCGGGGCUGGACCUGGGGCGGCCGAGGAAAUGGCGGCGGCGGGGUGCCCUUCGUCUGCAGGGUGUUCUCAGCCUGCUACAACCCCGGCAGGCUUGUCCCGCCCGCCUUCUAGAGCCGUAGGCUGAGGGAUCGGCCGCGGGAUCGGGAUGGGCCUAGCGGGGCUGGCGGCUGUGGGUAUCCCUGCCCGCCUUGGCUCCUGUGCUCGUUCUUCCCCGGAGCUCCCGGUGUUGCGCACACACCGCCUCUGGAGGGUAGGAAGUGCCUUUGGUAAGUGAAGGCUAGAGAUGGAGUGAUAAGGAAGAGUGUUCCUGGAGGAAACUGGAGAUGCGUCGCUAUGAGGCUGUGUCAAGGAAGGUUUAGGCUUGAUAUUUAAAGGAAAAUAAUAUGAAAAAGAUUCUUCACCCAGGGGGUGGUUGGGCCCUGGAACAGGUUCCCCAGGGAAGUGGUUACAGCACCAACCUGACAGAGCUCAAGAAGUGUUUGGACAAUGCUCUCAGGCACAUGGUGUGACUCUUGGCAUGUGCUGUGCAGGGCCAGGAGAUGGACUUCCAUGACCCUCGUAUGUUUCUUCCAGCUCAAAAUACCAGGCUGUGUGACGUAUCCAGUCCAUGGAAGCAAGGAGUUCAGGGAGUGAAAACUUGACUAGAAAUAUGGGGAGAGACCUGAUACCUAAAAACUGGUAGUACAGCACUUGGAGUUUGUUGUCCUUAAAAACCUCAGAGCCCAGAUGAGCACUGAAGCAUUUUGUUUUUUAACUAAUAAAUGAGCGGCCUUUGUCCUUGCAGUGCCCUAAACACCAAGCUACUGGUUUUUUGACACAACUUAUAUGGCAUCUUGCUGUGUAGUGUCUAUGCCUUUGACUUAACCUUUUACAUCAUGUGUUUACCGUGUUUUCAUUCUUUCUCAGGUAGCCUCCUGCCUUUUGCUGUAAGGCCAGAUCCAAGCCAGAUGCAGGUCUUCAGGUUCUGCUAUUACUAAUGCAGCUGCAGCAGUUAACACCAUCAUGCUGUAUCAUGUCUGUUACCUAUAGCACAGUUCUGCAUGUAAUCUAUUGGUUUGCCUACAGCAGUUACUUGAACUUCUGUAGCCAUUUUGUCACAUUAAGAAUAACAGCAAGUCAGUGCUUUUUAGAUCCAAGAAAGAAUCAGGGAUACAAUAAAUCUUACUUAUUCAGAUAUACUAUUUACUCUUCCAGUGUAUGAAUGCCUGUUCUGCUAUUUCAAGAUGAUAAAAACAGGAGCUUUUAGCUCACUACUUGUUCUCCAGGUACAGGCAGGUAGCAAACUGCAGGCAGCAUGAGGGGUUUUGGCAGCCCCUGGCCUGCUUUUGCCAAGGUCUGUGAAUUAUGAAAGUGUGGGGGAUGAAAGAAUAUUUUGGUGAGUCAUGGCACAAAUGUGCAGUCAUGUUACAGAAUGCACAGCCUUUCCUGUUGUACACCAGUCCCAGUGCCCUGUGCUUCCAUAUACAUUAAAUGUGGGAUAUACCAGUAUUUCUAGUCAUAGGACUGACACACAUUUAAUGAUACCUGACAAAUAAAGUAGAGGCAUAGAGUUUUUGAGUGUCUCCUUUUUAAACAAAAUAGCCCAAUAUCCCUAUGGAAAAGUUAGGCACCAGUGCUAUGUAUUCACGAACAUCAAUAUGAAGUUAUCAGGACUAUAUGCCUACACCUUUUCCAAAAUAACAUGCCUUUGAUGGGGAAAUCCUAGGAAUUCUAACUGAAAACUGAGAGAACAAGUCUUUAUAUCCAUAGGUUUGUGUUGGAUUUCAAUAUUUUUGGUAUAUCAAUUGUCAGACUUUUCAAAUUAGUAUGCAUAAGUAGAAUUGUACAAACAUUCAAAAUUAAAAUUUACUCUUCUUAUGAACCAGUGUAGUACAAGAGGCACAUCCAUUAAUCAGUAAUGGCUUGUCACACUCAAAAGAGAGCUCAAACCAUUGAACUUGGUUUUUUGACUUGCAGGAACCUAUUUUUCAGCAGUUUGUAUUAAAUUGGUUUUCCUUUGUAGAUGAGGCCAAGAUCUGUUUUCACACUGUGGUUACUGUUACAGCUCGUUCUUUCUAAACAUACAAAACCAACUCUUCAUUACAGCACACAGCUUGUUAAUAAUCUCUUACAAAAUAUGACAAUAAGAUAUGACCCACUGUGGUGGAAUGCAAUUUAAAAGGUAUUUUUCCUUCCUGUAAUUUUAGUGCAGGUAGGAUUCAGAAGGUCGAAUGUACAGAUCACCUGAUAGGAAGGGUUGAACAGUUGCUCUGUCUCCUUUGAGAAUUUACUGUUUUAACAGUAUCACAUGUGACACAGUGCAUAUAAUGUUAUUGUGGGUGCUCUUGAGAAAGGAUACUCACCAAAGUGUGCCACAUGUACCAGAUCUUCUUCCCUUCACACAUUGAGGCAAGGAGUAAUUUUCAGAGCACAGAAACAUGUUAGCCUUCAUUUCUCAUGUCUGCCAAUUUGACUGUUUGACUAAAAGCUUGAAGGUUAUUUCAAUAAUUUAACUACAGAAGACAGGAAAUUAAUAGCAAAAAGGUUAGUAUUUGCCAGUUUUCUCACAAGCAAAAUCAGUGCUAGAAUAGCACAAGGGCGUGUGUUGGUAUGCAGAUAAACCAGUGUUGAUUCUGUAUAUUUACUGCUCCAGAUAGUUACAUAGUCUUACAUACUGAAGCUGUGAAAGGAUGUGUGUCAACUAAGGAUUGUGACUGGAGAAGAGCACUUAUUUCAUCAUAACAUACAUCCAUAGUCUCAAACUGUCCAACAUAUCAUAUUUGCAUUAAAAGACCUCAACUAGCCAACCAACAAACCCACAAAACCUCCACAACAAAACAAAAAACAAUAAAUGGUUGUGCUGACUCCAGAAGUUUUCCAUGCCUUUGUUUGGCUCCUGUGUCACCUAGGAUGUUAGAGGGUCCGAGAGCUCAGCAGUCCUUCAGUGAUCUGCUGACUCAGACAAAGGGGGAAGGAGAGCUGCAGUCAUCCCUGCAAGUAUGGGACAACAGUAGUCACAUAAACAUUGGCAAUUAUCUUCUAAAAGCAAAUGUGCCUGUCAUGGGGCAUGAAACAAUGAGCUGUUUGGAGGGAGAAAACCUAAUACGCAAAGAAAAGGGUAGUGUAACAUGGAGGUGACUGCCUGGAGAAGAUGGAAAUAGGAUUUUAUGGGUGUGCUGUGAGUAUUCAUAUUUGUAAGUUAUUGUGGUAACUCUCCUAUGAAGGAUUUUGAUUUUUUUUUUUUUCCUUGUGGCUGAUCAUGAAGACAAAACCACUUGGCAUGCUGUAUCCAUUAACUAAGGAGAACAAGAGCCCCAAUUGCCGGAGUGAUGAAAAAAAAUUAGUGAUACCAUAGAUGUUGAAAGUCUUUUGUUGCAAAAAAAAUAAAUAUCUUUGAAUUUAUUUUGCCUUGUAGCUUCAUGUGAUCAGCAGUAACAAUAAAAUCGGAAACAAAAUUGCAGAGGAUUUCAACUGGGACAACAAGAUCAUGAAUCCCUACUGUUUUAUUGACUUGAUUAGGAGUAAUUCCACAAGAAUUUUCACAGCAAAUAAAUAUCACUAGUACUCAUGGUAAAAUGGCCAAAUGUUUCCAUUUUUAAUGGUACAUGAGAGAAUUGGGAUUCUUAUAGACAUGACUGAAUUGCUGAAGUGUCAGAUUCAGGAAAUAAUAUCACUUGAUCAGAUGACUUUAACUUCUCUUUUUGAGUGCAAAAGGUACCUUUCAGGUUAAAGAAUUCCAGACCUCUAAAGCUUUAUCUCACAAAGUAAAGCCAUGCAACAGUACAUGUAACUUAGAGGCUGAUGAAGGAGACAAAGUGCAGUGACACAUUGAAGUCUGUGAAAAAUCACUGUAAACUUUGUAAGAAAUCCCUGCAGGCCUCCAUUAUGCACUUAGCAAUCUCACUUUUGAGAUUUCCCUAAUUUACUGACAAAAAGCUGCAUUAAAUUCAUCUACUUGGGAACAAAGUUUGAGUUUGACCCUGUUUAGGAGGAACUUAGAUUUCAAAGACAAUAUGGUGGAUGUUUCUUAUGUCAGGAUUGUACCAUAUAUCAAUAUAAAUAGCACAAGAACAUAAGGAAGAGCUCUUCAACAGAUUUCCACUUCAGGCUGAAUCUUUAUGAUGUCAGUAAAAACAGUAGUAUAUUAUGACUAGACCUUCUGUUUCACUUCAUUGUUACGACUAAACUUCCUAUUUUUAUUGUGCCCUAAUAAUGAUGCUCCUUCUAUUUCAUUUUAGUAUUCCUAUUAAUUUAGUCUAAUAAAUCCCUGCUUCUCUGCAGUACCACUGAUCUGGGAAAUGUCCCUUUUCAUUUCACAAAGACGAGAAAGGACAGAGACAAAGGGAAAUGGAAAGUACUACGGUCAAAAGAGCAAAGACUUAGGCUGUCCAAUUAGGUCAUGUGCAAAAUUACCACAAUUCUAAAAUGUCUCCUGAAUGUUAUUGAGACCUAGAUUAGUCGGAGGUGAGUAUAUUUGAGUUCUUGCAUUUGGCAUAGUUUCCAAAUGUGCUUGAAAUGCAGAGCUGUAAUGCAUCUAAAAAAUUUCUGUCCAAAUUAAAAUCUUCAUAUGAAUUUCUGUAUGAUACUUGGAUAUACUGUGGUCACUGCCAGAUAUGGGAUAUUUCCAAGAAAAGUGAUAUUGCCAGUCACUGUGUGGGUUUCAGCUAGGGUAGAGUUAAUUUUCUUCAUGGUGGCUGGUAUGGGGCUAUAUUUUGGAUGUGUGCUGAACACAGGGUUGAUAAUAGAGAGAAGUUUUGUUAUUGCUGAGCAGGGCUUACACAGAGCCAAGGCCUUUUCUGCCUUUUGUACUGCCAUGCUGGUGAGGCUGGGGGUGCAUGGGAGGCUGGGUGGAGACACAGCCAGGACUGGUGACCCCAGCUGACCAAAGGGAUAUUCCAGACCAUGGGACAUCAUGCUCCGUAUAUAAAGUGGGGGAAGAAGGAGGAAGGGGAGACAUUUGGGGUGAUGCUCUUUGUCUUCCCAAGUAGCUGUUUGAAGUGAUGGGCCCCUGCUGUCCUGGGGAUGGCCUGUCCAUGGGCAGCAAUGAAUUAAUUCCUUGUUUUGCUUUGCUUUGUGUGCACAGCUUUUGCUUUCCCUGUUAAACUGUCUUUAUCUCAACCCGUGAGUUCUCUGGCUUUCCCCUUUCUGAUUUUCUCCCUGAUCCCAGUGUUUGUGAGGCAUAGUGGCUGUGUGGGGCUUGGCUGCUGGCUGAAAAUUGCUGUAAAUUAGUAGAAUGAUCAGAGUGGCAGGAACAAACAGCAAAGUGUACUAAUUUUGUAUAUUUAAUACAGUAACUGUACAAUUUAUUUACUUAAAAAUAAACCAAAACUGAGUGGUGACAUAGUGUUAUAAUCUCUUUAUUUUUCAUUACAGCUUCUUAGGCCAGGGAAGGAGAAACAGCAGUCUGAGGUGAAUUGACUUCAGAAACUUAAGGGCAAACCUGUUGCCAUAUUCCUAAGUCAGCAAUGCCUAACCAUGACCAGCAAGGUGAGGAGCAGUUCACACAUCCCCUGGCAGAGCCCCGUCAGCAUGUGCUGCCGGAGCUUCCUGCUGAAGGUGACACUCAGCAAGUGCUGCCUUUCAGAAUUUGGAAAUUCAACCAGUGCAGACGAAGAUGUAGGUAGCAGUCACAGGAGAUUAAAUGCUGCUAUGUGUAACGAAGCAUGAAGAUGACAAGAUAUACAAACAAGAGGCUUUUCAGCUCGAUCACAUCAUCCAGCACAUAAUUAUACAGAUUUUGUAUUUCAGACACCAGUGUCAACCUGGGGUUGAAAUCAUUCUAAAAGAAUCUGUAGGAGUAAGUAUAAAUAAGAUAGUUCCCCACACCCCAAUUACUUUUGUACUUUAAAAAUAGAAAGGAAAAUGAGUCGUCCUGACUUUAAGGGAUGAGUUGUGUGUGGUAUUUGUGAUGGAAAAUUCUUUCUAAAAUAAACACAGUAAUAAAUGGUCUUCUUUUUUCCUCUCAUAUUUUAAGGGGACAGCCUGCUUCUAGUGACAGAGUACUAGACUAGAUUUAUCCUGAUCUCUUUUAGUACUUGACUAAUACAUACAGCAGUAUCUAUUACAGUCAUUAUUUGUAUCAAGCAAAGUAUUUUUCUGUAGUUUUUCUGUUAAAUUUCUCUAAAGCCACAUGCAGAAUGAUACCUCCCAUGUUGUAUUUUAGUUCCAGCAACUCUAAUGUGGAUGAUACCCUGAUGGGAUUUUGAAAUCCUGAAAAACAUGAAUGUGACAGGGGAGCUUAGAUGAGACUUUAGAAAAUAUUACCAAUCAUUUAACUGCUAUUACAAAAUUUUUAUAAAUGCUGAAUAAAGGUGUCAAAUAAUAAAUGUAUCAGCCUCUAUUAAUUUAGUUCCUGCGCUUCAUUACUGCUAAAGACAAUAUUGAUCCAAAAUUUAUUAGCAGUGUUCUGCUAGAGCCAGUGGAGGGCAGACUUGAAUUGGAAACUCUUUUUGCUACUGCAGUUACUCGAAGUUAAAAUAUCAGAUAUAUCGUGUCUUGAGCUCAAAGUCUCAUCACUUCUCUAGAAUUCUAAUUACACUUGUGCUGGAUAAAAGCCUCUUUGCAGUUGCUGUUUGCCAAAAUGAGUGUUUUGCGAAUGUUUAAAUAAAGAUGCUAAUAUGAAAGUGAAUAAAUCAGUGUAUUAGCAGCUGUGUGUUACUCAUCAGGGAUAAUCCACACUGCUUAAUCCUCAACCAUGUAUAUCUUGAAAUGUUUGUUAAAAGCUAGUGAAUAUAAUUAUCCCCAUUUUUCAGAUAAAGAAACUGAGGAAUAGAGUGGUAACCUUGCAGAUUACCCAUCCCGGUGACCUACAGAAACAAGAAUAAAAUCCAGUUUUUUGAGAUCUAGUCCAAUCCUUUGCAACAUAAACUCUUUAAACUCUUGCAAACAUUAUGGAAAUUAUUGCUAGCAGCCCAGAUUGUGGAGACUGAGGAGCUUACACUGAUGAAAUAGCAGGCAAACUGACAGGUCAUAGAUCUUAAGAAGAAUAUUCUUCCCAAGAAGAUGGGUGGCAGUCAGAUCAAAGGCCUAAAGAUCGACUUUAAAGUAAUAUUUUAUUAUUAAAACAAGUACUUUGCAUUUUUAGGCAUACUUGUUAUUUUUUAAGUUAGGUUGUAGUCUUUCCAAUAACCUUUAUGAUAGCCUGUGUCUGACUCUUGUUAAGUAUAAUGUGUUAUGGCUUCAGACAUUUUUAAGUGCUGUGUGAAGAUUGGUAAGAAUAUAUUAUAAAAGAAGCCACUUUAAGCUUCUUGGUCAUUUCUCCUUGUACCUCGUGCAGUUGUACCUCACAAAGAGCUGUCACCUCCAAAUUGUCAUCACUUUCCAUCAUUCACAGAGGCCUGAAUAUGCAAUGAUCUCAAAAGGGAAAAGAUUCAUUUACUCUUCUGCAGAACAUAACUCUCCUUGAAAUAACCACCAACUGAAGGCAUUUGUAUACAGGCUCAUUUUGUAGUAAACCACUGGAUGCCUCAGCUCAGGAAACAGCAAGAAAGAUAAUGAUUCAAUUAACGAAAACUGCUGCUUUGAGAAAUGUGGUUUCCAGUCUCAAAGUUAUUUUAUUCAUCCCUAAUUAUUCGUUGCUGAAAACUGUUAACCACUAUUAGGGGCAGGUAAGUCUGAGGUUUGGGGGUAUGGCUGGUUUUGCCUGCUGUAAGUUUCACAGAUGUACACUUCUACCUCCAUAAUGAUCUUUUCUUUCACUAAUUCUAGAUGGUGUGUAUUUUGUUUGUACCCAACAUUCCCUUUUAUUUGUAAAAUAUGUCUGAAACGUUCAAAACAUUAGUGUUUUAAGAGCAGUUAAAAUAGUACUGCCUCAGAAACACAUCAUUGUUACCUAGAGUUGUGUUUGCUGUGCUGAGCAGGCCCAGCUGAGUUACAGAUAAGGCAAAAUAACUGUAUUAGAGCAGGUUGGCCAAAAGCUUGUCCCUGUAUUUCUUUACAUGGAAAAUAAAGGAUAGAUGUAUGUACUGUCUGAAUAGAGAAAUGAUGAUGUGUGCCUGUGCCAAAAUAAAUCCAAUAGUAUUCUAUUGGAAAAAUAAACUUAGUUUUGGACUUUAAAACAUGGAAUAUGCCAUGUAUAAAAUACAUAUUUGAUCAAGAUCAGUUCCUCUGGUAAUGUUCCUUCAGAGGUGAGAGUUUUAAUGACAGGGAAAAGAUACUUCUACAUCUAUGGAAGUUAAAGCCUGCUGCUGUCAAGUGGCCAGGACCCUUAAAUGUGUGUUGAAGUGUCUUACUCUUAGUAAAUCAGAAGUGUUUAUACUUGCUGUCUCAAGUAGUAGAAAGAACACCAGCAACUGCUUCCAUGUUUACAAUUCUGUGGAGUCUGCUACCUGUGAGCAGACUCCACUUAAAUAAAGUCUCUAGAAUUACUAAUUGCUAACCUCAUUCUUGACAUACUUCAGCCUCCAACAGCCUGCUGCAACUUCUGUUACACCUUCUGGGAUUCUAUCUAUAGCAAUUGCUUUCUCUCCCCAGUUGGCACCAAGCCAGAAAUAUAUCCCUUUGCACAAAUGCUUCUUAACCUUGUUCACACUGGGGUUGGAGGGAGAAGGGGGGGAGCCAUAUUUUUUUCUUUCUGCUUGUCUGGUAGGUGGAUACUUUUAUAGUAAAUUCAGUACUUUCCAUGUUCACUCUGUAAUGGAUAAGUGGUUACAAUGCUUUUUCUAAGGUACUGUUUGUUUCCCUUUAAGUGCACUGAAUAAAACUAUUUCUCCAUGGUCA
Serinus canaria (Common canary) is the source of this 8739-nucleotide long non-coding RNA. RefSeq lists it as uncharacterized. Lineage: Eukaryota; Metazoa; Chordata; Aves; Passeriformes; Fringillidae. The record is from RefSeq and is a predicted model, not a curated record. The transcript is spliced from 3 exons.